AUUUACGUAUUUUUAUUGUGACUCAUCACCACCUGAGUAAACUAUAUUUCACUGAAUUUCGACUGUUCUCUAUACAGCGUAGCCUGCUGAUGAUAAGGUCAGGCUGUUAUAGGACUUACAAGUUAGAUCAGUUCCUUCUUUUGACUAUGAAUUUGUUUGCUGUUUUGCUUUCUGUUUGCAGCCAAAAUGACCGCCUUUCUUUGCAAUUGCUAUUCUGAAUAAAAGCUUUGACAUUUCCCAUAUUCUCUCCUUCUCUCUCCCAGUUCAAGUUGAUGAAGGAAGAGAGCAAGAACUCUACUAUUAUACUUCUUUUCUAAUGUAGCUGCAUGAAACUUGAUUCAGUAACUCCUUGGAGCUUGAUACCAAUGACAAAUAAGCUCAUCUGAAGCUCAUUAUCAAUACCAGUUUCCACCUGGUCUGGAUAACUAAAGAUUCCUGAAAUUGCAGACCUACUCAUAGCAUCUUCUACCCUAAAUAUCCUGAAUGGGUUAAUAAUUGUCUUGCUAAAAUACUGAGAGGAGCAGAACUGAUGAAGACUCAAAUACUUGGAUUCUGUGCUAUUGAAUCAGGCUGAAGCGAUGCCAAGAGGAAACAUCAAGACAUCAAAAUAAAUGCUGUAUGCGUUCUUAAAAUACAAGAAAUCAAGUGAGAUUUUGGAGCCAUAAAAUUAGAAGGGUUAAGGUUUGGAAGGGCACUGCCCAGAGCAUCAGCUGCUGUGCGCUGAGAGGAAGCAUGAGGACCCUGUGGGUGCCCAAAGAGGCUUUUGUGUCCAGAUCUGUGUUAAAGAUAAAUGAAAUCUUCUACAGUGAAGAACUGCAAGAGUUAGACAAGUUCUGUGAUUAUUAUUCUGCUAGUUUUGCUGUUAGAUAUUCCUGGCUUAGUGUCGCUUUCCAGAGCAAAAUGGAAGCCUGAAACUUAUGGAUAUGCAAUCUUGCUGCUCUUCACUUGGAUUGAAAGUGAGAAAGAAAUAGUCACUAUUUUGAAAAAGAAAUGGAGUGACUGAAAAUCUAACUGAUAGACAAAGCCAAU
RNAcentral lists this long non-coding RNA (1029 nucleotides) under Phasianus colchicus (ring-necked pheasant). Its description in RNAcentral is "lncRNA (ENSPCLG00000020199.1)". Lineage: Eukaryota; Metazoa; Chordata; Aves; Galliformes; Phasianidae. The record is from RNAcentral.